This 113-nucleotide ribosomal RNA is filed under the name Pteropus vampyrus (large flying fox). The record is from RNAcentral. Lineage: Eukaryota; Metazoa; Chordata; Mammalia; Chiroptera; Pteropodidae.
GUCUACAGCCAUGCCACCCUGAACAAGCCCCAUCCCGUCUGGCUUGUUAGUAGGGUCGGGCCUGGUUCAUAUUUGGAUGGGAGACCACUGAGGAAGACCAGGUACUGUAGGCA